RNA transcript from Quercus robur (English oak), 2904 nucleotides. It is a transcript of the gene named factor of DNA methylation 4-like, with no coding region annotated. The record is from RefSeq and is a predicted model, not a curated record. NCBI's taxonomy places the organism in Eukaryota, Viridiplantae, Streptophyta, Magnoliopsida, Fagales, Fagaceae. The transcript has 9 exons.
AUGGGGUUGUUAUGGAAAAAGACGAAGAAUUUAUAGUGCGUGUUUGCAGAGCUCUCUCUCUUCGAAUCCAUUCUGAAUUUACACACUAAAAGACUAAACUCCAAAGACUCUCUCUCUCUCUCAAAAACUCUGAGAAAUUCUUAGUCUUCUAGAAAUCUCUGGGCCAUUUAGCAUUGUAGACGACGAAGAGCCUUUCCACGGCGUCGUUUCGUCGUUUCAGUCUGUUACUCUCGCAAUUUUUUUUUGCUUAAAAAGCGUUUGGGGAAAACGAUUAGGGUUCCAGAAAACUUGUUCUAAGGUUUGAAAAUGUCUUCCAGUGCAGAAGAAGAUAUUAGUGAGAAGAAUUUGAAGGACUAUGAGUAUGACCAGUAUAGUGAUUUGAAGAAAGGAAGAAUUAAGGUUAAAUAUUCUAGUACAGUAUAUAGAUGCCCAUACUGCCCUGGGAAGAGGAAGCAAGACUAUUAUUAUAAAGAUCUUCUCCAACAUGCUUCUAGUUUUGGUAGAUCAACGAGUAGGGGCGUAAAAGAGAAAGCAAAGCACUUAGCUUUAGAGAGGUAUAUGAAAAGGUAUCUCGAUGGGCAGGCUCAUUCAGAACCUGCCAAAAAAUCUGAAAGUACCUCUAUGCCUGAUGGUGAUAAGAAGUUUGCACGUUCUAGGAGGCCACUUGAUGUGCCAGUUCAUUCAGAACAUUCUAAAAAAUCUGAAUCUACCCCCACGCCUGAUGGUGAUCAUCCAAGGAGGCAUCAUGAUGUUCAGGGUCAUUCAGAACCCUCCAAAAAAUCUGAACGUCACCUUUUAGCCAAUGGUGAUCAAGAGUUUGUGUAUCCUUGGAUGGGCAUUGUUGCAAACAUUCAAACUGAAUGGAAAGAAGGAAAAAAAGUUGCUGAGAGUGGCUCGAAACUCAAGGAUGAGUUUUUAAGAAAGGGGUUUAAUCCUCUGAAGGUUUUUCCCUUAUGGGGUUAUAGGGGUCACACAGGUUUUGCCAUAGUAGAGUUUAAGAAUGAUUGGGCUGGUUUCAACAAUGCUAUGUCAUUUGAGAAGAGUUUUGAAGUUGAGCAUUGUGGGAAAAGGGACUACUAUGGACACGAAAAUCCAGGAAAUAAGCUGUAUGGAUGGGUGGCCCGAAGUGAUGAUUAUAACUCAAGAGGUUUUAUUGGUGACCAUCUAAAAAAGAAUGCUGAUUUGAAAACCAUUUCUGCCAAAGAAGCAGAAGAUCAACGGAAGGCAUCAAAACUUGUCUCGAACUUGACAAAUACCCUUGUGAGCAAGAGUUUGCACCUUGAAGAGAUGAAGAACAAAUAUCUUGAGACCAAUGCAUCUCUAAACAAAUUGAUGACGGCUAAGGAUACAAUGCUUAAGAAGUUCAAUGAACAGAUAAGAAUGGUGCAGCAGAAAUCACACAAUCAUUUUGCACAGAUCUCCUUGGAGCAUCAGAAGAGUACACAGCGUUUAGAAGAACAAAUGAAAAGACUUGAGCAGCGUGAGAAGGAAUUGCAGCAACGUGAGGCUCAGAAUGAAACUGAGAGAAGGGAGCUUCAUGAUGAGAAAAAAAUGGUUGAAAGGGCUACCUUAGAGCAAAAAUAUGCUGAUGAAAAAGUGUUAAAGUUAGCAGAGGAACAAAAGAUAGAAAAGGAGAAGCUUCACAGCAAAAUUAUUGAACUGGAAAAGAAACUUGAUGCUAGACAAGCACUAGAGCUGGAGAUCGAGCGGAUGAGAGGGGCUUUACACGUGAUGAAACAUAUGGGUGAAGAUGGGGAUAUGGAGGUGAAAAAAAAUAUGGAUGCAAUUAAAGAAGAUUUGAAGGAGAAGGAAGACGAAUUGGAACACAUGGAAGCACUCCAACAAGCUCUUGUCAUCAAGGAGCGCAAAAGUAAUGAUGAACUACAAGAAGCUCGCAAAGAAUUAAUAUCAGGAAUGAGGGAAGUGUCAACCCGUGCUUUUAUUGGCAUCAAGAGAAUGGGAGAGCUUGACAAUAAGCCUUUUCUCACUGCAAUGAAGAGAAAAACUUCUAAUGAAGAAGCAGCUCAGAAAGCAAUAGAACUGUGUUCACAAUGGGAGGAUUAUCUUAGGGAUCCAAGCUGGCACCCCUUUAAGAUAAUCACAGAUAAAGAAGGAAAUAGUAAGGAAGAAAUCAAUGACGAAGAUGAAAAAAUGAAGAGUUUGAAGAAUGAUGGUGAUGAUGAAGUUUAUGAGGCUGUCAAAGUAGCCUUGAUGGAGAUGAAUGAAUACAACCCGAGUGGUCGGUACAUAAUACAAGAGCUAUGGAAUUUUAAAGAAGGAAGGAAGGCAACGUUGAAAGAAGGAGUCUUGCAUGUACUAAAUAAGUGGAAAUCUCUUAAACGAAAGAGACGCUGAAGAUUUAGUGGUCUGGAUAAUGAUUAGCUAUUGGCAUUGGAAAGGCUCUUAUGAUAUUUUGGAGCCAAGACGGUAAUUGGAAUGAUAGGGAAGUGAAUUUCCAUCGACCAUGAGUGUUGUGUGCUUGUGCCAUUGUGAGGAGUUGAUCAUGAAUUGUUAAAGGGCCCUCAGUGCCUUAAAGGCCCACAAGGAUUUGUGGCCGAAGAGUCCUUUUAUUAAGGAAACAUGGAUGUGGUGCUUCAAGAGUUUCAACGAUUUUGUGUGCUUGGGUCAAUGGUAGGCUAUUGUUAGUGUUUUAUCUAAUGCAUAUCCGUAAUCAGAUGGAGUAUAAGAAACUUUAGAAUUUUCAUUUUGGUGAUUUAUGUUUUCUGUGUAUGAAAAGAUAGAAUGGACAGAUGAGAUCGGAUGAUGGUAGUUUUUAUUGUUUUGCAAUAGGUGUCGGAAUAUAUUAGGAUCAAGCUUCACAACCUUUAGGAUAUGUUACAUCACUACUUGAUAACUUUUCAUUUAGAAUAGAAUAAUAUCUUGAUAACUUUUCAUUUAGAAAAA